GUUGCUCUUCUCACCUGUUAUCAGUAGGUGGCAGAGAGGAGAGAAGCUAUGUGUACUCUCAGUGUUCUGAACUAUGGACAUCUGAAAUAUUGUUAACCUGACAUU
Rattus norvegicus (Norway rat) is the source of this 105-nucleotide small nucleolar RNA. Ensembl annotates it as small nucleolar RNA SNORA17. The record is from Ensembl. Lineage: Eukaryota; Metazoa; Chordata; Mammalia; Rodentia; Muridae.